GAGAGAAGAAUUGCCACUCAUUCACAUUCCAAUAUCCUAGCUAGGAACAAACAUCUUUCUAAUGGUAAAUGGUUUUAGGGUGAGUUGAUUUGUUACACACCCAGGCACGAACAAAGUACUGCCAUUGUGCUCGCACAGCCUCGACAUGCACAUUGGCAAACGCACUACAGGACUUAGGCCGGUUGCAAUCCACAGGCUGCAGAUCACUUCCCC
Molecule: long non-coding RNA, 213 nt
Filed under: Selaginella moellendorffii
Lineage: Eukaryota; Viridiplantae; Streptophyta; Lycopodiopsida; Selaginellales; Selaginellaceae
Description: long non-coding RNA (SMOE_LNC001086)
Source: RNAcentral